CUGGCUCAGAAUGAACGCUGGCGGCAUGCCUAACACAUGCAAGUCGAACGAAGGCUUCGGCCUUAGUGGCGCACGGGUGCGUAACGCGUGGGAAUCUGCCCCUUGGUUCGGAAUAACAGUUAGGAAUGACUGCUAAUACCGGAUGAUGACGUAAGUCCAAAGAUUUAUCGCCGAGGGAUGAGCCCGCGUAGGAUUAGCUAGUUGGUGUGGUAAGAGCGCACCAAGGCGACGAUCCUUAGCUGGUCUGAGAGGAUGAUCAGCCACACUGGGACUGAGACACGGCCCAGACUCCUACGGGAGGCAGCAGUGGGGAAUAUUGGACAAUGGGCGAAAGCCUGAAUCCAGUAAUGCCGCGUGAGUGAUGAAGGCCUUAGGGUUGUAAAGCUCUUUUACCCGGGAUGAUAAUGACAGUACCGGGAGAAUAAGCUCCGGCUAACUCCGUGCCAGCCGCGGC
RNAcentral lists this ribosomal RNA (454 nucleotides) under uncultured bacterium. RNAcentral's name for it is "bacterial SSU rRNA". It matches the Rfam family "Bacterial small subunit ribosomal RNA", at positions 19 to 518 of the family's 1533-position model. The record is from RNAcentral.